GCAGCAUUGCGUGAGCAGUCCCAUCAUAGAAACCAAACAAAGUGCAGUUUUGAGUUUGAGGGAGGUUCAAGUCCAGGAGGAGUCCCUUCUUGAGGCCUGGAAGAGCAGAGGAGGGUUGAAGUUCUGGAGGAGGUGACAAGUAGAGAAAGAGGUGGAGG
Polypterus senegalus (gray bichir) is the source of this 158-nucleotide long non-coding RNA. RefSeq lists it as uncharacterized. The transcript is spliced from 3 exons. The record is from RefSeq and is a predicted model, not a curated record. Lineage: Eukaryota; Metazoa; Chordata; Cladistia; Polypteriformes; Polypteridae.